Molecule: ribosomal RNA, 125 nt
Filed under: Chaetothyriales sp.
Lineage: Eukaryota; Fungi; Ascomycota; Eurotiomycetes; Chaetothyriales
Description: partial small subunit ribosomal RNA
Rfam family: Eukaryotic small subunit ribosomal RNA
Source: RNAcentral
CCUUUGUACACACCGCCCGUCGCUACUACCGAUUGAAUGGCUCAGUGAGGCCUUGGGACUGGCUCAGAAAGAUCGGCAACGAUCAUUCAGAGCCGGAAACUUGGUCAAACUUGGUCAUUUAGAGG